CCUACGUGAGGCAGCAGUGAGGAAUAUUGGUCAAUGGACGCAAGUCUGAACCAGCCAUGCCGCGUGCAGGAAGACGGCUCUAUGAGUUGUAAACUGCUUUUGUACGAGGGUAAACGCAGAUACGCGUAUCUGUCUGAAAGUAUCGUACGAAUAAGGAUCGGCUAACUCCGUGCUAGCAGCCGCGGUAAUACGGAGGAUUCAACCGUUACCCGGAUUUAGUGGGUUGAACGGGUUCGUAGGCGGUCGGAUAAGUUAGAGGUGAAAUCCCGAGGCUUAACUUCGGAAUUGCCUCGGAUACGGUUCGGCUAGAGAGUAGUAGCGGUAGGCGGAAUGUAUGGUGUAGCGGUGAAAUGCUUAGAGAUCAUACAGAACACCGAGUGCGAAGGCAGCUUACCAGGCUACUUCUGACGUUGAGGCACGAAAGCGUGGGGAGCAAACAGGAUUAGAUACCCCAGUAGUC
This 460-nucleotide ribosomal RNA is filed under the name uncultured bacterium. RNAcentral's name for it is "partial 16S ribosomal RNA". It matches the Rfam family "Bacterial small subunit ribosomal RNA", at positions 338 to 795 of the family's 1533-position model. The record is from RNAcentral.